GCGCGAAUUCGCCUUGUGCAGCAGCCGCGGUAAUACGURGGUGCAGCGUUGUCCGGAAUUAUUGGGCGUAAAGAGCUCGUAGGCGGUCUGUCGCGUCGGAUGUGAAAACCCAGGGCUCAACCCUGGGCCUGCAUUCGAUACGGGCAGACUAGAAUUCGGUAGGGGAGACUGGAAUUCCUGGUGUAGCGGUGAAAUGCGCAGAUAUCAGGAGGAACACCGGUGGCGAAGGCGGGUCUCUGGGCCGAUAUUGACGCUGAGGAGCGAAAGCUUGGGGGAGCGAACAGGAUUAGAUACCCUGGUAGUCCACGCCGUAAACGUUGGGCGCUAGGUGUGGGGGACAUUCCACGUUCUCCGUGCCGGCAGCUAACGCAUUAAGCGCCCCGCCUGGGGAGUACGGCCGCAAGGCUAAAAACUCAAAGGAAUUGACGGGGGCCCGCACAAGCGGCGGAGCAUGGUGGCUUAAUUCGACGCAACGCGAAGAACCUUACCAAGGCUUGACAUACAGGGAAAUCUCACAGAGAUGUGAGGUCCGCAAGGGUCCUGUACAGGUGGUGCAUGGUUGUCGUCAGCUCGUGUCGUGAGAUGUUGGGUUAAGUCCCGCGACGAGCGCAACCCUUGUCCUAUGUUGCCAGCGAGUCAUGUCGGGGACUCAUAGGAGACUGCCGGGGUCAACUCGGAGGAAGGUGGGGAUGACGUCAAAUCAUCAUGCCCCUUAUGUCUUGGGCUGCACACAUGCUACAAUGGCCGGUACAAAGGGCUGCUAAACCGCAAGGUGGGAGCGAAUCCCAAAAAGCUGGUCUCAGUUCGGAUUGGGGUCUGCAACUCGACCCCAUGAAGUCGGAGUCGCUAGUAAUCGCAGAUCAGCAACGCUGCGGUGAAUACGUUCCCGGGCCUUGUACACACCGCCCGUCACGUCACGAAAGUCGGUAACACCCGAAGCCGGUGGCCCAACCGCAAGGAGGGAGCCGUCGAAGGUGGGAUCGGCGAUUGGGACGAAGUCGUAACAAGGUAACCAA
RNAcentral lists this ribosomal RNA (1016 nucleotides) under uncultured Actinomycetes bacterium. RNAcentral's name for it is "bacterial SSU rRNA". It matches the Rfam family "Bacterial small subunit ribosomal RNA", at positions 488 to 1503 of the family's 1533-position model. Lineage: Bacteria; Bacillati; Actinomycetota; Actinomycetes. The record is from RNAcentral.